This 497-nucleotide ribosomal RNA is filed under the name uncultured bacterium. RNAcentral's name for it is "partial 16S ribosomal RNA". It matches the Rfam family "Bacterial small subunit ribosomal RNA", at positions 28 to 507 of the family's 1533-position model. The record is from RNAcentral.
GAUGAACGCUGGCGGCGUGCCUAAUACAUGCAAGUCGAGCGAACGGACGAGAAGCUUGCUUCUCUGAUGUUAGCGGCGGACGGGUGAGUAACACGUGGAUAACCUACCUAUAAGACUGGGAUAACUUCGGGAAACCGGAGCUAACACCGGAUAAUAUUUUGAACCGCAUGGUUCAAAAGUAAAAGACGGUCUUGCUGUCACUUAUAGAUGGAUCCGCGCUGCAUUAGCUAGUUGGUAAGGUAACGGCUUACCAAGGCAACGAUGCAUAGCCGACCUGAGAGGGUGAUCGGCCACACUGGAACUGAGACACGGUCCAGACUCCUACGGGAGGCAGCAGUAGGGAAUCUUCCGCAAUGGGCGAAAGCCUGACGGAGCAACGCCGCGUGAGUGAUGAAGGUCUUCGGAUCGUAAAACUCUGUUAUUAGGGAAGAACAUAUGUGUAAGUAACUGUGCACAUCUUGACGGUACCUAAUCAGAAAGCCACGGCUAACUACGUG